RNAcentral lists this transfer RNA (73 nucleotides) under Canis lupus familiaris (dog). It matches the Rfam family "tRNA". From Rfam's summary of the family: Transfer RNA (tRNA) molecules are approximately 80 nucleotides in length. Their secondary structure includes four short double-helical elements and three loops (D, anti-codon, and T loops). Lineage: Eukaryota; Metazoa; Chordata; Mammalia; Carnivora; Canidae. RNAcentral also lists the same sequence under 1 other name. The record is from Rfam by way of RNAcentral.
ACCUGGCUGGCUCAGUUAGUAGAGCAUGUGAUUCUUAAUCUCAGGGUCAUGAGUUCAAGCACCAUGUAGGGUG